Molecule: ribosomal RNA, 504 nt
Filed under: uncultured bacterium
Lineage: Bacteria
Description: partial 16S ribosomal RNA
Rfam family: Bacterial small subunit ribosomal RNA
Source: RNAcentral
GACGAACGCUGGCGGCGUGCCUAAUACAUGCAAGUGGGACGCAAGGAAACACACUGUGCUUGCACACCGUGUUUUCUUGAGUCGCGAACGGGUGAGUAACGCGUAGGUAACCUGCCUAUUAGCGGGGGAUAACUAUUGGAAACGAUAGCUAAUACCGCAUAAUAUUAAUUAUUGCAUGAUAAUUGAUUGAAAGAUGCAAGCGCAUCACUAGUAGAUGGACCUGCGUUGUAUUAGCUAGUUGGUAAGGUAAGAGCUUACCAAGGCAACGAUACAUAGCCGACCUGAGAGGGUGAUCGGCCACACUGGGACUGAGACACGGCCCAGACUCCUACGGGAGGCAGCAGUAGGGAAUCUUCGGCAAUGGACGAAAGUCUGACCGAGCAACGCCGCGUGAGUGAAGAAGGUUUUCGGAUCGUAAAGCUCUGUUGUAAGUCAAGAACGUGUGUGAGAGUGGAAAGUUCACACAGUGACGGUAGCUUACCAGAAAGGGACGGCUAACUACGU